GACGAACGCUGGCGGCGUGCUUAACACAUGCAAGUCGAGCGGUAAGGCCCUUCGGGGUACACGAGCGGCGAACGGGUGAGUAACACGUGAGUAAUCUGCCCAUCACUUCGGGAUAACUCCGGGAAACCGGUGCUAAUACCGAAUAUGACCACUUCAGGCAUCUGAUGGUGGUGGAAAGUUCCGGCGGUGAUGGAUGAGCUCGCGGCCUAUCAGCUUGUUGGUUGGGUAGUGGCCUACCAAGACUUCGACGGGUAGCCGGCCUGAGAGGGUGACCGGCCACACUGGGACUGAGACACGGCCCAGACUCCUACGGGAGGCAGCAGUGGGGAAUAUUGGACAAUGGGCGAAAGCCUGAUCCAGCAACGCCGCGUGAGGGAUGACGGCCUUCGGGUUGUAAACCUCUUUCAGCAGGGACGAAGCGCAAGUGACGGUACCUGCAGAAGAAGCACCGGCCAACUACGUG
RNAcentral lists this ribosomal RNA (463 nucleotides) under uncultured bacterium. RNAcentral describes it as "partial 16S ribosomal RNA". It matches the Rfam family "Bacterial small subunit ribosomal RNA", at positions 28 to 507 of the family's 1533-position model. The record is from RNAcentral.